AAAAAAGUUAAAUGUGUACAUUAAUUUAUAAUUUAACAAACUAUAAAUACCCAACUGGUAAAGCAGUAUGAAAGGGCUGGAAAACUUUCACUUUAGGUCUCACCUUAAAUCAUAAGUUAAACUAAGUCUGGAAAAAUCUAGAAGAUAACGUUUUCCAUGUCUUUUCUUGAAAGGAGUUUUAUUUCCUGUCAGAUAUUGCCACAAUCUUGUAAUCUCAGCUCUCAGGUUGUCAGUACCUCUACCACUGAGCCACUUCUCCAGCCCAUAGCUAGAUUUUUUUCAUGUUUGUUUUAACAAUAUCUUUUGGAAAAUGGUGUAUUUAUUUUAUAGCAUAUGUAUAAAUGUUUUACCUGCAUGUAUGAAAAUGCACCAUGUUCUACAGUGCUUGGAGGUCAGAAGAUGAUGUCAGAUCCCUUGGAACUGAAAUUACUGAUGGUUAUGAGCCACCACAUGGGUGCUGGGAAUCGAACCUGGAUCCUCCACAAGAGCAAUAAGUGCUCUAAAACUCUGAACCACCUCUUCAGCCUCUAAAAUAAUUUUUUAAAGAUUUUAUUUAUUUAUUAUUAUACAGUGUUCUGCCUACAUGCUAGAAGAGGGCACCAGAUCUCAUUAUAGAUGGUAGUGAGCCACCAUGUGGUUGCUGGGACUUGAACUCAGGACCUCAGGAAGAGCAGCCAGUGCUCUUAACCUCUGAGCCAUCUCUCCAGCCCUAAAAUAAUUUAAAAACUACAUUUUAUUUAUUUUGUGUCCAUGUUUAUGUGUGUGGGUGCAAGAUGAACUCCACAGCAUGCAUGUAGAGUUCAGAGGACAACUUGAGAGAAAUUAAAUUUCUCUUUCUACCCUGCGGGUUCAAUCUUGUCAGGCUUGGCAACAGGUGACUUUAUCGGCUCAGCCGAGUUGGUGGCCCAAACACACUCAGUUCUUGAGGAACCAACCUUCAAGGCCCUGGCUAAGAGAUCAGUUUCUACGAAGGUCAGUAGUGGCUUAAAGCUGUUUUUUGGUUUUUUGUCUUGUUUUUAAGAUUUAUUUAUUUAAUAUGUAUACAGUGUUCUGCCUGCAUGUACACCUGCAGGCCAGAAGAGGGCACCAGGUUGUGAGCUGCCAUGUGGUAGCUGAGAAUUGAACUCGGGACCUCUGGAAGAUCAGCCAGUGCUCUUAACCUCUGAGCCACCUCUCCAGCCCAGAGCUUUGUUGUUGCUGAUGAUGUUUUGUUGUUGUUGUUGUUGUUUUUUCUUUUUUCUUUCAAACCACUGCUUUCUUAAUUUGAGGCGGUUCUAAUGGCCUCUGCUCGGCUUUUCCUGCCCUACCCUCCAUCGCUGUAUAGGAACGGGAACCAAUGUGAGGAUCCUGGUAGGUACUGAUUGCGUCUAUUUCAACUUUGCGUUCUAGAACUGGCAAGUAACAAGACAGGUUAAGGGCCCAACCAGGCCAGCUAUGGGGCAGAUGUCCGCUAAGACUCCACCGAUGACCUGGCCUCUGGUUGCUCUUCCCUUCACUGGUGGCCACAGUAAUACAUUGGCAUGCUGGAACAGAGUCAGCUGAUAGCCAGGGCCAGUCAAUCCAAAAGUGUUUGUUUUAUUCAGUCAAUCCAGAAAUGUCUAUGUAUUUUAUCUUCGUAAUUAUUCCCUGGUGAGAGACCACAGGUCUCUUUGAGGAAGACCGGAGAAAAAGUUGCACUAUAAAAUUUCAGUUCAUUUAUUUAUUUUAUUCUAUGUGUAUCGUUGUUUUGCCUGCAUGUAUGUAUGUGGACCCCCUGUAGGCCUGGUGCCUUUGGAGGUCUGAAGAAGUGUCAGAUGCCUUGGAACUGGAGUGACAGCUGUUUGUGACCUGCCUUAGCGGUGUCAGGAAUCGAACCCAGGUCCCCUGGAAGAGCAACAAGUGUUCUUAACCUCUGAGCCAUCUCUCCAGCCCCCAAAUUAUCGGUUGAAAUGGGUCCUUCCUUAAGGGGCCCAGCUCUCCACUUUGCUCAAGGAGGCUCUGGGUCUAUUGAAGUCCAGGAUUCAUUGCGGGGCUAUACUUCAUGUUCUUAUGAUUCAAGUGAGACUUGUGGUUAUUUCACCUAGAACAUUUCUGCUUAUACAGAUCAAAAGAGACUCUAACAAUUAGUCAUCCAUGUAGGGAGAUGUGAAAUCCAGAGUGAACAUGUACUGUUAACAUGGGCACAGCCAUAACAAGGAAUCCCGUGCCUCAGCCCCAAGAGAGUGUCACAGCCUUCCUCUGGUUGGAGUACAAAUGUUGGUAGUGUGUGUAGAAAAUGUCCACUGUAGCUUUCUCCCCCAGAUUGUUCCCAGCCUGAAGACGGCUCCCUACUGAGUCUGUUCCUGCCAGGAUGCGCUAUACCUGCCUCCUCGUUCCCCUCUGUAUGCAAUAAGCAUGCUGAGCAUCUGCAGCACUGCAACUUCUUCCUCAGACAGCCCAGUCCAUCCUAUCCCAGCUGUUAUGUGUGUCCCUGGGUCUACCUUUUCUUUCGUCCCUUGUAGUCCCAGUCAGGUCAAUCUCUAGAGCUGUGCAGGACAUGUAUGCAGGACAUGUUAGUGCCACCUGAUUUACUUCUAGAAACACCAUGAUCUACCAGCCAACACCAAAGGUCUGUGUGAGUUCUAAUAGCCUGAUCAAUGUCUUGGCUGUUUUCUGCUAUGGAAGCCAUAACCACUCCACCUUUGGUGUUCAAGUGUCCAAACUGCCACCUGGGUAGGAAGGAGGAAUUCAGCUGCAUUUAAGAUUCCCAAUUCUGUGAUGACAGCCCCAUUUAGAAGCUCUGGUUUGUAGAGAAGAGCAAAUACAGAGCCCUUCAAGAAUGCUAGGCUGCCUCCACAACUGUAUUCCGGUACUGGCAUACUCUUUUGUGUUGUUACAGUAUGGGUUUCAUUUGAAACCUAUGAAACAUGCCUAUGCCAAACACUCCAAUCUCGCUAAGCCUUUCAGUGUUUUCCUUUAAGGUAAACUGAGACAGGGCAUAUUUUUGUAACUUGCUCCAUCUGGGCCUCAUUUUGGUCCAUGUUUGAACCACCCAAGUAAAUGGCAUUUUCUAAUUCCUCGAACUAUAACACUGAAGAUAGGAUGAGUUUGGAGGGUAUAUGCUGGUGGCAGAGAACUUUUCUAGCAAGUGUAAAGUCCUGGAUCUAAUCCCUAAUACAUUCAUGUAUACUCUCGUGCACAUGUACAAAGAAAGAAAAGGAAGAAGAAGGGGGUGGUGGUGGUUUGAAAGAAAAUGGCCCCCAAAGGGAGUGGCACUAUUAGGAGGCGUGCCUUGUUAGAGUAGGUGUGGCCUUGUUGGGGAAGUGUGUCACUGUAGAGGCAGGCUUUGAGGUCUCAUAUAUGCUCAAGCCAUGCCCAGUGUCUCAGACCACUUCCUGUUGCCUGCAAGUCAAGAUGCAGAACUCUUGGCUCCUUCUCCAGCACCAUGUCUGCCUGCAUGCUGCAGUGUCCCACCAUGAUGAUAAUGGACUAGAUCUCUGAACUGUAAGCCACCCAAUUAAACAUUUUUCCUUAUAAGAGUUGCUGUGGUCAUGGUGUCUCUUCACAGCAAUGGAAUCCCUAACUGAGACAGGGAGAAAGAGAAAGGCGGCAGAGUCUCUGUGUGGUGAGUCCAUAUCAACACAUUCAGCUCCGUGUCCCUUAUGGCCUUGUCUCACACUCUCAGUAUUCGUCGUCACACACACACCUCCGUUUCUGUCUAUGGACAGCUUAUUAGUAAGCUCAAGUGUUUUGUUUUGUUUUGUUUGAAAUGCGGCACACCUCUUCAUGGUUUGUAAGUUGUACUUCACCUUUAGUGGCCUGUUGGGACUUCAAUCUAGUUAUAGGCCUAGAAGCCAAGAGGAAGGUGGGAGUGGUUCCUGAGGAGAGUGAGCAAGGUUCUGUACAGAAUCUGCCUCAAGGGAGGCCAGUGUCUCUCCAGCAAUUCUCAGUUACUCACCUGAACUGAGGAUGAGGAGGUUGGUAGAGAGGCCAGUAGGGCUGGAGGACUCUUUCUACUUUGGGUGGAAAGGCCUCUCUGGUGAUGAAGACUCAUCAGUGUUUCAGGCUCAACGCUCCUGCUCCAGAUCCUUCCACACAAACACAUUACAGCAUCCUGUUCUUUCCCCAAUCUGUCACCUCACUUUAACAGCAGAUACACUGGGAGGCUGGGAAUUCAGUUUGCCUCAGAAUUCGGCCAGUCACAGGACAAGGUCCAGCAUUUGAUUUGCAGUAGUCUCAGGUCAGGCCUACACCAACAGAAGGUAAGUCUCCUUCAGGGUAUGUCUGUGGUUGUCAACAUGUGCAUCCCAACCCCUUUUGUGGGAGUUAAAUGACCCUUUCACAAGGAUUGCAUAUCAGAUAUUUCCAUUAUGAUUCAUAACAGUAGCAAAAUUACAGUAAGUAUCAACAAAGAUAAUUUUAUGCUGGCAGCAGGCAGUUACCACAACUUGAGGAACUCUAUUAAAGGAUUGCAACAUUAGGAAGGUUGAGAACCCCUGCUAAGUCAUUUAUCCUGGGAACUUUUAAUUUGAGUUCUUGAGGGUAUCUGUUGUGUAACAGUUUUCUACAAGAUUGAAACAUUCUAUCCUGCAGGAACACUCUUUAAGCAGAGAGGUAAAUCAUUUAAAAUAGCUUCAGGAAGUCCCUGAAACUGAUCAGAUUCAUAGACCCCUCCCUGCCACAGUAGGCAAUUGAAGCUGAGAGUCCUUCUCAGACACAAAGAACGUAAGUGGCAAAAAAGACUGAGACAAGCCAAGCCGCAAAGAUGACUUUGAGACCCCACCAGCUGCCUAGAAGAAGCAGGAACCUGAUGAACUUUCUGGAGGAGGUUUAGACCAACUGAGGCUCCUGGAAAGGACACUGUCCAACCUGUUGAGCUACUUGCAGGCUGUGUAGUAUGUUCUAGGUUUCCCAGAUUUUGUGAGCUGUCCCCCAUGCUGGGGUGGGCUUUGGUGAUGCAGCUGUCUUUGAGUCGUUUCUACUCCUGUAAGGAACCCCUCAGCCAUAUUCACGUAAGUAACCCCAAUAAAACUCAUUGGUUCACUAAGUUGAACUUUGGCAAGAUCCGUAUUUCAGUCUGUCAUGGAUUCCCUAACUGGGGUGAGUAGAUGUGUGUGUUGUGUCUCCCCCGGAAAAGUUUUGUCACACAGCAUAAUUGGCACCUGACCAGGGACACAACAGAACCAAAGAUGAGUUGGGGAGGAGUGAGUGCACAUUCCUAGCUAUGGGUAGCAAGACAUGCAAUGGAGGCUGAGAAGCCCGAGGUGGGUGGGGAGCAUCCACGGGAGAAAUUCCUACAGAAUUACCCUUUCCUGUAUGGUGUGUGUUAGUAUGCCUUUGUCCUAGGACAGCGGUUGCAUGGUUCAUGCUAUGGGUAGUGAGACAUGCAACUAAGGCUGAGCCGUCAGGGUUAGCAGUGUCUGUAGGAGGAAUCCCAGGGUGGCAGUUGUCUGUGUGGUGUGGGUUGGCAUGCCUGCUUGAUGAGUGGGGUCCCCCAAGUGAAUAUGGAGAUGCCCUGAAAACAGUUGAAGGUUUAGAGGAAAUCUUGCAGUCUUUGAGAUCAGCACACACAAGGAUCAAGACUGUCAGCAAGCAAGGUUGCCUGACCUCCAUUGUGUGUGGUUAGAAAUACAUCUGAGGCCAAGAUGGCGGCCAAGCAGAAACUUGCUAAUGUAAAGGAACAAUUGCAACCAGAAAGGGAGAUGAGACUAGCAUCCUCCCAGCUAGCCUCUGACUUGGCAGGUAUAUUAGAUAAACGAGAGAAUGAGAAAGAGAUGUUGAAAGCAAUAGAAGAGAGCCUUGAAGUCUGACCUUUAGUAGAAAAAGAAGAAAAUACAACCUGCAGAUGGGGACAUUUCCCUCCAGAAAAUGCUUGUGCUGAGGAGAUUGUUUGCUCACUCAGGAACUACUGUAGCAGCCAGGUGUGGUGAAUGAGAAGGCUAUGGCCACCGUGCCAGCUCAGGGCCACUCUGACCCAUGGAGCCAGCAACUGCAGCAGGGGAAGCAGGGCCGCAUUCACCUUUGUCCCUGAGCAGAUCUGAGCAGAGUAAGCCAGGCCCACUGAGUUUCUGAGGUGUGGAGAAGUAUAGGGAGACCCUGUGAAAGAGCUCUAGGAUAUGCAAAUAUAAUGGCUUAGAAAGAAUGAUCAAAGAUUACAGGCGCUAAUAUCCCUGCUCUGAACCAACCACGAUCUAUCUGUGGAGGAAGCAAUCAGUACACAUGGAUGGAGCCUUUCCCCGCUGUAUUAGACUGUGCUUGUGUUCUACUUUACUGUCUUCUUAUUGUGAACUUCUGGGGUCACCUGACCCUUCUGAGAACAGGUGACAACAGACUUUCAGAGUGCUUCACCAUGGUUAUCUUUGUAACCUGCUGUCUGUUAUGAGAUGAUGGUUCUGGAUGUUGCCCUGUCCUGCUGCUCAUCCUCCGGAAAAGGUUUUGUUGGAUAGAUGAACCUCUGAGUGUUUUGCAGAUUUGGAAAACCACUGGAGAGACAACCAGAUCGCUGUUGUUGUCAGCCUCAAUUCAUAACCACUGGUGAAGCUCCUGAGAACAAGUGACAGUAUUGUGACACGUUGGUCUACUUAUUAGCCAUAGGUGGACAUCUAUAGUCACCACCUUCAAGGCUCGGCGAUCAUUGUGGAAGAGGGGGCAGAAAGAAUGAAAGAGCCGAGCUGGCGGCGACGGCGCAUGCCUUUAAUCCCAGCAGUCGGGAGGCAGAGCCAGGUGGAUCUCUGUGAGUUCGAGGCCAGCCUGGUCUACAGAGUGAGAUCCAGGACAGGCACCAAAACUACACAGAGAAACCCUGUCUUGAAAGAAAAAAAAAUGAAAGAGCCAGAGAAAGGGGUGGAGUGUGGUGUAACAGUUUUCUUUGAGAUUGAAACAUUCUAUCCUGCAGGGAAGCUCUUUAAAUAGGAAGGUAAACUACUCAAAAUAGCUUCAGGAAGUCCCUGCAACCGACCAGAUUCACCAGGCCCCUCCCUGCCACAGUAAGCAAUAAAAACUGAGAGUUCCGCUCAGAUGGACAGAGUCAAGCUGCAAAAAAGACUCAGACAAGCCCAGUGGCAAAGAUGACUCCGAGACCAGACCAGCUCCUUGGAAGAGCUAGAGAUUAGCUGAGCUGCCUGGAAGUUUAGACCAGAGUCACUUAGAAAGGACACUGUCCAACUGUUGAGCUGCCUGCAGGCUGUGCGGUGUGCUCCGGGUUCCCAGCUUUGUGAGCUGUCACUCAUGCUGGGGUGGGCCUUGGAGAUGCAGCUGUCUUUGAGUCAUUUCUACUCCCAUAAGUAAUCCCAAUAAAACUCAUUGGUUCACCAGGUUGAACUCGGGUGGUAACCGUACUUUUGUCUAUGGUGCGAUCCCUAUCUGGGGUGAGAAGAUGUGUGUGUUGCGUCUCCCCAGGAAGGUUCGUUAUAUGACAGCAUCCUUAUCUUGUACUGCAUUGUCCAGCCAUAUUAGCAGUAACCAGCUAAGUUAAUUACAUUCAUUAGGUCUCAGAACUGUUUUUCUUGUGUACGUGCAUAUGUGUGUGCACAGUGAUAUGUAUGUGUGAGAAGAGAGGCUAGAGGAUGAUGUGGGGUUUCCCGUUCUGUUUGCCUCAUUCCUUGAAACAGGGUGUUUCACUGAACCUGGAACUGUGUUGGGCAGCAAGCUAUUAUGAUCAAUCCACGUGAGCCUAUUAAAUGGGUAACAGAAUUUAUUAAGAUAUCAAUUGAGGAAAUACACUCAUGAAUACAGAAUGGAGUAGACAGCAGAAGUCAUCCUCUGAUCUGACUGGGAAAGAAUCCACCACGCAGGCAGGAGCAGGGAGAAGGGGCAUGUGACCUUUCUCCAACUCUUUAUAAGAGGUCACGUACACUGGCAGGAAGUGCCGCCUUCAUUGGACCAUAUAGCCCGAGGUCAUGGGCAGAGCAAAUACCACUACAGUAAGCCUCAGGAAUUCUCCUGCCUUGGUAUUUCCUUCACCCUCCCAGGUCAGGGUUUACAGGUGUGUGUAGCGGCCUCCAGCUUUUUAAGAUGAGUUCUGGGCAUUUGAACUCCAGUCAUCAUGCCUGAACAGCAAGUACUCUUAUCUGAUAGCUGAGUCAUCUCUCCAGCUCCGUUCUGAAGUUUUGGAAGUACCAUAUACAUCCAACUUUGUAUUUCCUUUUCUCUCUUUUCCCCUCCCUCCCCACAUCUCUUUGAGAGGGUCUCUUACUGCCCAGGCUGCUUUUGAACUUACUAUGCAGCUGAGGGAUGGUCUUGAACAUCUGGUUCUCCUGUGUGCUAGAGCUACAAGCAUGUGCCACCAUGCUUGCUUUAUGUGGUGCUAAGCAGUGACCCCAGGGCCCCAUGCAUGCUGGGCAAGCACUCUGUCACUGAGCUCUAGCUGCAGCCCUUCAUGUUGUAUACAUCUUUACAGCUGGAUCACUCUACAGGCCCUCAGAACUCUCCUUACUACUAGACCAGUGGUUUCAACCUGUAGGUCCUGACUCCUUUUAGGGGUCAAAUGACCCUUUCACAGGGGUUGCCUAAGACCAUUGGAAAACACAGAUAUUUACAUUACAAUUAACAACAGUAGGAAAAGUUGCCUGGCUAGCUCAGUUGGUAGAGCAUGGGACUAUUAAUCCCAGGAUCGUGGAAAGCCCUACAUUAGGUGGUUUAGUUUUCAGUUUAGACAGGAGGUAGUGCCUUUAAUCCCAGCACUCGGGAGGCAGAGGUAGGCAGAUCUCUGUGAAUUUGAGGCCAGCCUGGUCUACAGAGUGAGUUCCAGGACAGCCAGGAUGACACAAAGAAACCCUGUCUCGAAAAGCCAAAAACAAAACCAACUAACCAACCAAACAACCAAACAACAACAACAACAACAACAACAAAACAAAUUAGCAAAAUUACAGUCAUGAAAUAACAAUGAAAAUAAUUUUAUGGUUGGGGAUCACUACAACGUGAGGAACUGUAUAAAGAUUCGCAGCAUUAGGAAGGUUGAGAGCCACUGUACUAGACAUAGAGUUGUUUAUAUCUAAUCAGAUUACAAUACUAAUUCGAAAAAUUCUGGAUCCAAUUUAGAACUCAUCUGUAACGUUGCAUUAGUGUUACAAAUUAGUUGAGAUAAUCAGCUUUCGAGGAGGAAAGAUUGACUUUGGCCCAUAGUUUCAGAGGGGUCAAUUCAUUGCUAGUUAGCCAAAUGCUUGUGAGCCUGUCAUGAGGCAGUACAUCAUGCUGGGGACAUACAACAAAAUCCCUUGACUCAUUGGUGACCAGAAAACAGAAGUAAGACAGAGACAAACGGGCCAGAGCCCAUUAUGGGUUGAAUGUGGGAUAUCUGUCACAGGCUUAUUAUUGGUUUCAACAUUUAUGUGGUCCCCAGCUGGUGAUGCUGUUUUGGCAGGUUAUGGAACCUUUAGGUUUAUGUCUUCUGGUUCUGGCUUGCUUGUUCUCUGCUUCUUGGCUCAUCUGUGACGUGAUCACCUGCCUCAAGUUCCCACUGACCAAGAUGAGCAGACCCUGCCACCAUGCUUUUCUCGACAUGAUAUGCUGAACCUUCUGAAAUCAGGAACUAAAUAAGUCCUUCCUUCCUCAACCCACUUCUGUCAAAACAAAUACAUUUCCAAUAUCCCCUUCGAGGGCAUGUCCCCAGUAAUCCAACUUCUUCUAAGAAGUCUGUACCUUUUAAGGGUUCCAUCACUAAUGCUAGAGAUCACUGUGCAUAUUCUGUUCCUCUGGGGCCAUUUUUAGGACCAGAGUCUGUGUUGUGGUUCUCCAGAAAAACAGAAUAGGACACACACACACACACACACACACACAUUGUUGCAUUAUAAAGAAAUGAUCCUGUAGAUGUAACCAACCGUCUUAUUAAAUAAGAAACACAUAGCCAAUACAGAGAUGAAAGCCAGGAGGUCAGAGCAAUAGCUAAAAGCUAAAACCUUACCCUUCACUUUCGCUGUUGUCCUACCUCUCCGAAAAAAGAGACCCACUUCCUGUGUGUCUGUCUUUUUAUAGAGUUUCUGUUCUGCCUUCUCAUUGGUUGUAAACCCAACCACUGCCCAUCUGUACAGACCUCCAGGUCUUCUAUGGUUGGUAUUGAGAUUAAAAGCGUGUGUCUCCAUGCUGGCUGUAUCCUUGAACAAACAGAGAUCCCCUUAGCUCUGCCUCCCAAGAGCUGGGAUUAAAGGCGUGCACCACCACUGCCCAGCUUCUGCUAAGGCUUGCUAUUAGCUCUGACCCCCAGGCAACUUUAUUUAUUAACAUACAAAUCACAUUUUAGUACAAAUAAAAUAUUACCAUAUGAUCCAUAUGCUUAGAAAAAUCCUAUGGUUUGCUAUCUCCACCCUGGUGGUCCAGGAGAGCUAGUGAUACAUCCCUGUGAACUGGAGGGCUGAUGGCCUCAGUCCCAGCUGAAAGCAGAAGUCUGGUGUUCCAGCCGGAGCAAUCAGGCAUAGAAAGCAAAUUUCCUUUCCCUCAGUUUUUUUUUUUAAAUCUUUUCUUUCUAUUCAGGUCUUAUGAAUGGAUGGAGACUGGAUGAGGGAGGGCCAUCUGCUUUACUCAGUCACUGAUUCUAAUGCUUAUUCCACUGAGAGAAACACCCUGCCACACUCACAGAAAUAAUAUUUGACAUGUAAAAUUAACCAUCAGAAAUAUGUCCACACACCAAAGGUCCCUGAGCAGCAGCAACUUAAGAUUUGUUUCUUGAAUAGUAGAAAACGUUUUGACUAUCUUCAAUAAGACACAGGCUUUCAUGUUGCUUAUUUGAAGAGUUAUUGGAAAAUAUUUCUGUGCUUGGAAUCCUCUUAUUUAUGAUAGAGAAAAAUGACAUGUGAUGAUGGUAUAUAUUUUGUAUUAAAGGCGGUAUGUGUGUAAAUGCGGGUAAGUCUCAGAUUAUUAAUACCUGAAACAAAUGCUUCACAACUUAAACACAGAAGAUACUAAUUAGUAUAUAGGUGUCACUCACAGUUCUACUAACCAGAGAUGAUUAAUUUAAUCACGUACUGUCAUAGAAUUAAUUAUAAUGACAAUUAUUAAUGACAAAAUUAUCAUGUGGCAGUUUGUAUGUGUGAUUUCCCAUUUUAUUCAAUAAGUCAGUAAAAACAUUUAAAUUUG
Long non-coding RNA from Peromyscus californicus insignis, 11028 nucleotides. RefSeq lists it as uncharacterized. Lineage: Eukaryota; Metazoa; Chordata; Mammalia; Rodentia; Cricetidae. The record is from RefSeq and is a predicted model, not a curated record. The transcript has 2 exons.